GUGGGGAAUAUUGGACAAUGGGCGAAAGCCUGAUCCAGCAAUGCCGCGUGAGUGAUGAAGGCCUUAGGGUUGUAAAGCUCUUUUACCAGGGAUGAUAAUGACAGUACCUGGAGAAUAAGCUCCGGCUAACUCCGUGCCAGCAGCCGCGGUAAUACGGAGGGAGCUAGCGUUGUUCGGAAUUACUGGGCGUAAAGCGCGCGUAGGCGGUUUAUCAAGUCAGGGGUGAAAUCCCGGGGCUCAACCCCGGAACUGCCCUUGAAACUGGUUCACUAGAAUCCUGGAGAGGCGAGUGGAAUUCCGAGUGUAGAGGUGAAAUUCGUAGAUAUUCGGAAGAACACCAGUGGCGAAGGCGACUGACUGGACAAGUAUUGACGCUGAGGUGCGAAAGCGUGGGGAGCAAACAGGAUUAGAAACCCGGGUAGUCC
RNAcentral lists this ribosomal RNA (425 nucleotides) under uncultured bacterium. RNAcentral describes it as "partial 16S ribosomal RNA". It matches the Rfam family "Bacterial small subunit ribosomal RNA", at positions 354 to 796 of the family's 1533-position model. The record is from RNAcentral.